RNAcentral lists this ribosomal RNA (253 nucleotides) under uncultured bacterium. Its description in RNAcentral is "partial 16S ribosomal RNA". It matches the Rfam family "Bacterial small subunit ribosomal RNA", at positions 524 to 776 of the family's 1533-position model. The record is from RNAcentral.
UACAGAGGUGGCAAGCGUUGUUCGGAAUUACUGGGCGUAAAGGGCGCGUAGGCGGUCUUGUAAGUCCCGUGUGAAAUCCCUCGGCUCAACUGAGGAACUGCACGGGAAACUGCUUGGCUUGAGCUCGGGAGAGGGAAGCGGAAUUCCGGGUGUAGCGGUGAAAUGCGUAGAUAUCCGGAGGAACACCGGUGGCGAAGGCGGCUUCCUGGACCGACACUGACGCUGAGGCGCGAAAGCUAGGGGAGCAAACGGG